GUUCCAGACUCCUACGGGAGGCAGCAGUGGGGGAUAUUGGACAAUGGGGGGAACCCUGAUCCAGCGACGCCGCGUGAGUGAAGAAGUAUCUCGGUAUGUAAAGCUCUAUCAGCAGGGAAGAAGAAAUGACGGUACCUGAGUAAGAAGCCCCGGCUAACUACGUGCCAGCAGCCGCGGUAAUACGUAGGGGGCAAGCGUUAUCCGGAAUUACUGGGUGUAAAGGGAGCGUAGACGGUGAUGUAAGUCUGGAGUGAAAGGCGGGGGCCCAACCCCCGGACUGCAUUGGAAACUGUUGAACUGGAGUACAGGAGAGGUAAGCGGAAUUCCUAGUGUAGCGGUGAAAUGCGUAGAUAUUAGGAGGAACACCAGUGGCGAAGGCGGCUUACUGGACUGUAACUGACGUUGAGGCUCGAAAGCGUGGGGAGCAAACAGGAUUAGAUACCCCCGUACG
This 451-nucleotide ribosomal RNA is filed under the name uncultured bacterium. RNAcentral's name for it is "bacterial SSU rRNA". It matches the Rfam family "Bacterial small subunit ribosomal RNA", at positions 328 to 793 of the family's 1533-position model. The record is from RNAcentral.